Molecule: ribosomal RNA, 308 nt
Filed under: uncultured bacterium
Lineage: Bacteria
Description: bacterial SSU rRNA
Rfam family: Bacterial small subunit ribosomal RNA
Source: RNAcentral
CAUCCCUUGUAUACCAAAGGAGCAAAUCCGCCGAAAGAUGGGGCUCAUAUCUGAUUAGUUAGUUGGUGGGGUAACGGCUCACCAAGACUGCGAUCAGUAGCCGGACUGAGAGGUUGAACGGCCACAUUGGGACUGAGAUACGGCCCAGACUCCUACGGGAGGCAGCAGUGGGGAAUAUUGGGCAAUGGGCGAAAGCCUGACCCAGCAACGCCGCGUGAAGGAAGAAGGUCCUCGGAUUGUAAACUUCUUUUAUGAGGGACGAAGGACGUGACGGUACCUCAUGAAUAAGCCACGGCUAACUACGUGCC